GGAAGAGUAGCUAAAAUGGCUUAGCACCCCGCUGUUAACGGGGAGUAUGUCAGUUCGAACCUGACCUCUUCCGCCA
This 76-nucleotide transfer RNA is filed under the name bacterium. RNAcentral's name for it is "tRNA-Asn". It matches the Rfam family "tRNA". From Rfam's summary of the family: Transfer RNA (tRNA) molecules are approximately 80 nucleotides in length. Their secondary structure includes four short double-helical elements and three loops (D, anti-codon, and T loops). Further hydrogen bonds mediate the characteristic L-shaped molecular structure. tRNAs have two regions of fundamental functional importance: the anti-codon, which is responsible for specific mRNA codon recognition, and the 3' end, to which the tRNAs corresponding amino acid is attached (by aminoacyl-tRNA synthetases). tRNAs cope with the degeneracy of the genetic code in two manners: having more than one tRNA (with a specific anti-codon) for a particular amino acid; and 'wobble' base-pairing, i.e. permitting non-standard base-pairing at the 3rd anti-codon position. The record is from RNAcentral.